RNAcentral lists this transfer RNA (76 nucleotides) under Vibrio parahaemolyticus. RNAcentral describes it as "tRNA-Ser". The record is from RNAcentral. Lineage: Bacteria; Pseudomonadati; Pseudomonadota; Gammaproteobacteria; Vibrionales; Vibrionaceae.
GCCGACUUAGAUCAGUAGGUAGAACAACAGACAUGAAAUCAGUAGGUCGCCAGUUCGGUUCCGGUAGUCGGCACCA